Molecule: ribosomal RNA, 995 nt
Filed under: Nicidion mikeli
Lineage: Eukaryota; Metazoa; Annelida; Polychaeta; Eunicida; Eunicidae
Description: partial 16S ribosomal RNA
Rfam family: Bacterial large subunit ribosomal RNA
Source: RNAcentral
CUUUGCAAGUAUAAAAAUAAAUUUCAACCCCGAAAAUUAAUGAGCUGGCCGUUGUUUGUUUAGAACCCAAUAUAUGGUGUAGCAAUACCAUUACAAAAACAAAAGCCAGAGGCUACAUACCUACCGCAUUUCUUGAUAUCUGGUUUUUCGCCAACCCAGCUUAAGCUGCUCAAGUUGAAAAUUCUCACCCUACCACCUUAUCAACUCUGAAACUAAAUUAGGGAUAAGCCUGAUUUACACCUUUUAUUAUACACAAAUAUACCCUCUAUUCGUAGGCCCAGAAACAGCCACCACUUAUAACACGUUACAGUAAUAAUAUAAAAACAAUUAGAUAUCAAAUACUCCUUUCAGCGAAACAACUCUUACAACCCAAAAUUAGUAAAACUAUGCAAAGAUCAGUAUUCAACCUCCCCAUCACUCACACCACAUAUGUAGAAAAGGAACUCGGCAAACACGUAUUCCGACUGUUUAACAAAAACAUUGCCUGCAGCUCAAAUAUUGUAGGUACAUCCUGCCCAAUGAAUGUUCAUCAUUUAAAUGGCCGCGGUAUCCUAACCGUGCAAAGGUAGCAUAAUAAUUUGCCUCUUAAUUGAAGGCUAGUAUGAAUGGACAAACGAGAGUACAACUGUCUCCUCUACACCCCUAAAAAUUUUUCUUCAGGUGAAGAAACCUGAAUCAAUAUAAAAGACAAGAAGACCCUGACGAGCUUCAAUCUCGAAAGAACCCCCACAUCACACGAUACCCAUCCCUCUAUAAGAGAUAUUUAUUGGGGCGAUAAUGGAAUACACCAAACUUCCACCUAACAUUAGACUCCAAGUCCCCCCCAAGAUCCACUAAAGAUCCCAGGAAAUAGCUACCGCAGGGAUAACAGACUUAUUCUCCUCAAGAGCCCAAAUCUACAGGAGAGUUUGGCACCUCGAUGUUGGCUUAAAGACUUCUUUUAGAUGUAGCAGUCUAAAAAGUGGGUUUGUUCAACCCUUAAUACUUUACAUGAG